This 5790-nucleotide long non-coding RNA is filed under the name Gossypium barbadense (sea-island cotton). Its description in RNAcentral is "long non-coding RNA (GBAR_LNC014708)". Lineage: Eukaryota; Viridiplantae; Streptophyta; Magnoliopsida; Malvales; Malvaceae. The record is from RNAcentral.
GGAAAGAAAACAAAUCGGGCUUCAACUAGCCCAUCAUGACCAAAAUAAACAAAAUUUUGAAAAUAAAGCUCAUCCUAUACCAGUCAAAUCAAAAAAGCUGGACACCAUUAAUUAUCGUCUUUUCAAAUCCACCGUCUAGUCAUAAAGAUAGCAGGUUACCAAUUUAUUGCUUUGUCUCUGCUAUCCUUUAAUGAAAAACUUUCCCCUUUCUUCAAUCUGGAGGAUAUGGCCAAAGAUUUCCUACCGUUCUCCGAACUGCUUCUGGGACUUCCUUCUCCAGGUAAAAACUUUAUCCUCUUCUAAGAGCCUCCUUUGCUAUAGUAUGGGCAUAAAUAUUCUGUUCUUUGGGAAUGAAAGUAAACUCGAUUUCCUGGAACCUGUUUUUUAGACUUUGGAUAUCUGUGAUAAUUGCUCCAAUGACUGAUUUAUCCGAGAAGAAGCUUUGGCAUUUCUUGAUAACAGUUUUGGAGUCUCCUAAAACUGUUAAUUUAUUGACUCCCAGUCUAAUCCCUAAUUUUAUUGCGUGUAAUCCUGCAUAUGCCUCUGCUGUGAAUGGAUCUGCGAUGUUGGAGUGAAUGACUGCCUGUGAUGCAAGAAUCUCUUUGUUCUCGUUUCGUACUAUUAUACCGGAAGUCGAUCUAAACCCCAGGUGUUCGUAAGCUGCAUCGAAAUGAAUGGAGGUCCAUCCCCUUUUAUAUAUCUGUUGGAGAUUGCCAGAUGAAUGGAGAGUAAGAUUUCUUCCUUUUGUUACUGCAAGUUCUGUAAUAUAGACACUGAUUUUCCUUGCUAUUUCUGAUCCUGACAUGAGUCUUUUUCCAUAAAUGAGAUGAUUUCUGCUAAACCAAAUGAACCAAAGGCUACAGCAAAAAAGUUGAAGCUGCUCUUCAUUACCUCGAUCAAAAACCCAGGUAAGCCAUCCCCACAUGUUAUGUAUACUCUGAUUCAGCACCCACGAUAAAUCUAACUGAUUCCAAACUUCCAUUGAUCUAGGGCACUCAAUAAAAAUAUGCCAGCUAUUUUCUUCAGCAGAACCGCACCUGGGGCAAAGAGUGUUUAUCACUACCCUCUUUAUUUUGAGAUUGACAAAGGAAGGGAUAAAAUCCCAAGAAAUCCUCCAAAUUGUCAUCUGAAUUUUUGUAGGGAUAUGUAACUUCCAUAAUUUGUUGUAAAAAGUUUUUGUCUCGGUCUGUAAUAAUAAAUCAUUAGGAUCCAGAUUAGAACCAUGUAAUAGUUUAUAGGCACUCCUCACCGAGAACUCCCCUGUCGGUUCUCCUCUCCAAACUUGAAGAUCUUGUUCUGUCUCCGCAAGAGGGAUUUUUAAUAUUUGCUCCGCAACAUUUGGUUGAAAGGUAUUUCUUAUUAGCUCUGUUCUCCAGCUCCUGCUAAUUGGCUCAACUAAAUCCGAGACUAAUUUAACAUUGUCAUUGUCUUCUUGAAUCGUGAUUCUGUCAGCUGCAAUCCCCGGUAUCCAUGAAUCUCCCCGUAUGGAAAUUUGAUCACCUCUCCCCACCCUCCAACAGCGUCCAUUAUUAAGAAGUCCUCUCGCAGCCCAUAUACUUUUCCAGGUAAAAGAAGGUAGAUUCCCCAACUGAGCUUUAUAGAAAUUUGAAUUGGAAAAAUACUUUGCUUUUAAAACAUGAGCCAAUAAAUAAUUCGGAUAAUUAAUAAGACGUCAUCCCUGCUUCGCUAAUAAUGCAACGUUAAAUUUAGCAAAAUCACGAAAACCGAGACCACCAUCUUCUUUUAAUAGAAAUAAAUCCUUCCAAAUCUAUACAGAGCGUCUUAGGGAGUAGGAAACAAGCCAUCGAGUAUGUUGGGAUAGCUUGUAGAACUGCCUUGAUAAACACUUCCUUUCCUCCUUGUGAGAGAUAUCUAAUACUCUAACUGUUGAUUUUUUGCUUGAGUCUAUCUUUCAAGUUUUGAAAAGAUAAUCUCUUUCUUUUCCCCACCAUACUAGGAAGUCCUAGAUAUUGCUCAAAAUCAUUAGCUCUUCUAACUCCAAGGAUCUGUGAAACAACACUCCUUUCACUCUCUUUUGUAUUAGUACUGAAGAAAAAAGUCGAUUUUUCAAAAUUCACACGGGGCCCGGAACUUGUCUCGUAUUCUUGCAGUAUCUGUUUUAAUGAAUGUGCUCCCCUAUCUGUAGCUUCAGCAAAUAAAAUACAAUCAUUUGCAAAUAAUAAAUGGGAGAUAGUCGGCCAUCUUCGACUUACUUUAACACCUUUCAAAACAUUUUCCUCUUGUGCUAACCUCAUUAGACUUGAGAGUCCUCUACAAAUAAGGAAUAAAAAUGGACUUAGAGGAUCCCCUUGCCUAAGACCUCUCGAUGGGAGAAACGUUUGACUGAUAUUUCCAUUGAAACUCACAGAGUAAGAGACUGAAGAGACACAAGUCAGUACUAAAUCAAUCCAUCAUGGGUCAAACCCCAUUUUUUCCAUUACUCCUCUAACAAACUCCCAUUCAACCCUAUCAUAUGCCUUACUCAUGUCCAGUUUAAGAGCCAUGAAUCCUUUUUUCCCUAUCUCUUCAGUUUCAAAGUGUGUAGAAUUUCAUAAGCAAGUAACACAUUAUCAGAAAUCAGCCUUCCUGGAACAAAAGCACUCUGAGCUAAAUCAAUACAUUUAUGAAUUAACCCUCGUAACCUAUUCGCAAUGACUUUAGCAAUCAGUUUGUAAAUCACAUUACAUAAACUAAUAGGUCUAAAAUGGGUAACGCUUGAGGGAUUUUGGAUUUUUGGGAUGAGCACAAUAUUUGUUUUAUUAAUUGAUUGGAACUCUAUACCUUCGUUUAAUCUUUGGAGACAAAAAAUUGGAGAUGUCAUCCCCAACAAUUGACCAACACUUUUGAUAGAAUAAGGCUAGGAAACCAUCCUCUCCCGGUGUUUUUGCAGGCCCCAUUCCUGAAAGAGCUUCCCGAAUUUCAUCUUUUGUGAACCUUGCAUUCAGUUUAAUGUUAUCUUCCUCAGAAAUACACCUAAUACCUGUCAAGAUAUUCUCAAAGUUAUGUUGCCCUCCUGUUGAAAACAAUCGUAAAAAGUACAAUCUGGCAAUUUCCUCCAUAUCCAUCCAUUUUUCAGUUGCUCUGCCAUCUUCACCCUACAACUUGUGGAUUCUGUUUUGCUUCCUUCGUUGCGAUGCUUGUUUAUGAAAGAAACUUGUAUUUCUGUCUCCCAUUUUUAACCAAUUAAUUCUAGCCCUCUGCUCCCAAUAGCUUUCAUCCUUUUCAAUUUCUAAGUUCAGAUGGAUUUUUGUGUCAAUAAUCUCUGCCAAGUUCUCCUCACUUCUAUCUGCAUCAAGCAACGUUUCUAAUUUUGACAAUAAGACCUCCUUUGUCAUCCUUUUAUUCUGUUGGAACUGGACACUCGACCUUUGUAACCCUUGUUUUAAAUUUUCCAGCUUCUGCAUAAGGUCUCCUGUUGAGUUUUCCCAAAUACUUUUAGUCUCAUCCAAGAAAGUAUCUUCCAAAAUCCACCAUGCUUCAAACCUGAACCUCUGAUAUGCUAUCCUUCUAACUCUCUGAUCCGUAUCAAUGAGAAGUGGACAAUGGUCUGAGAAAGAAUGAGGGAGGUGUUGAAUAAGAAAAUUUGGAAAUAAAUCACUCCAUCAUUCUAUUGCCACUCUUCUGUCUAAUCUUUCUUGGAUAUUAGUUUCUGGCAAAUUUCCCUUCUCCCACGUAAACCUCCUACCUGAAUAACCCAAAUCCACUAAACAACAAUCUUCCAAGGCCUUCUAAAAUGCUUCCAUUCUUUUUUCUUCUCUAGGUAGACCACCUUUCUUCUCGAAAUUAUAUAAGAUUUCAUUAAAAUCCCCACAAACCAGCCAUGGGUCAUCUCCUUGGUUUCUUAAUUGUCGCAACAAGUUCCAUGAUUCCUCCCGAUCAUAUGAAUAAGGGGAACCAUAAAAACCUGUAAAUAUCCACUUUUCUCCAUCUCAUUCUUCCUCAAUGAUCACAUCAAUAUGUCUAUUUGAAAAACUCUGUAGUGCAAUACUAGCGUUCCUUCUCUAUGCUAAACAAAGUCCUCCUCUAGAUCCAAUUGAAUCCACAUCAAUUCCAAAGUGAAAUCCACAACUUCUUCGAAUUUUUUUCAUUCUUUUUUGUUUAUUUUUGUCUCCAUUAAGAAGAUCACUAGGGGAUAGUGUUUCUUCAGUGAGUGUCGAAGUCGAUGAACUGUUCGAGGAUUCCCCAAACCUCAGACAUUCCAACUUAGUAUUUUCAUUGCGAUCGGUCGGCUUGCCUCUUGACAGCCGCCGAUAAUAAAUGAUUGAAUCCUUGUACUUUCCUAUCUCUCCCUUCCAUCUCCCCACUAUUCUCAAUAUCCUUUCUCCCUCUCUUUUUUCCCUCUUCUCCAAUAAUCAUCUCAUUCUCCAACUCCUGUUCUAUAGCCAUUUGACUAUAAUCAUUUAAAGGUCUAACCCUUUCUAUUUGUGAGGAGAACCCAUUACCUUUUAGAUUAAAACCUAAAAUAGGAUCAACACUUCCCCUAAAAGUUCCUACGUUUCCCCUUUCAUUAUUUCCUCCACUCAUUCCUCCCCCAGAACCUCCUUCCUCCCGUAACCAUACACUCCUCAUUGCUUGGGCUCUUCUUGAUUGUGCACGCAGAGAUAAAUCCCAUCCCAUCACAUCAACUUCAACCCUUGCCUCCAUUUUUUCCUCACAAAAGGAGUCACUAUGUCCAAGACGGCCACGGUAGAAACAAAAAAGAGCCAAUCUUUCGUACUUAAAUCUAACAUAAGAGCACUUGUUUUUAAACAUAACCUGCUUUUUCCUUUUGAGAGGGUGCCGAACGUCAACUUGAACUGUUAUCCUCAUGAAAUUCAUAUUUUCUUUCCCCAAACUAGAUCCAUCGUAUUCUUGAAAAAUUCUAAUAAAAUUCCCUAACUGCAUCGCUAAUUUAUUAGAAUAAAACCCUAUAGGCACAUCAUGUAUUUGAACCCAAGAAGGUGAUGAGGUUAGAGGAACUUUUAGUGGAUCUUCCCCCUUGUAACUUGUGUAAAAUUAGUAGAUGAUUAAUGAAUGUCCAAGGAGCCCCUUUAAUAACUCUUUCCAUGUCAAUAACAUGGAAAAACUUAAACAAGUACCUUUUUUCCCCAGAUCUCUAAUUUGAACACCCUUGACCGAAUGCCAAAGAUUAGCCAUUGUGCUUUUCAUUGCUGGAUAAUGGAUGAUACUGGCUGUAAGAAAACAACCAACCAAACUAAGAGAUUCUUCAUUAUUAAUUAAAUCUGAGUCACCUUGUGCUUGCAGGAUCUCUUUUUCUUCUUCAACAAGAGAUAAACCCGCAAAUUCUGAUUCCAUGGAUGUUGUACUCGAAGCCUCCGUUAAAGACAUCACUUCAAAUAAAUGGAGAUGAGCACCGCCAAAAGAAAACCAGAAGAAAAAACUUGCCAGAGAGGCAGACAGAGACGUGCUAGGGUAGCAGACUUUUUUAAUUAUUAAACUCAUUCAAAAACCUAGUAAAUUUAUAUCUAUAUAUAUAGUUUCAAUUAAAAUUAUUUAUACCAACAAAUGUUGGGUAUAUUGUACUUUCAAAGAGAGAUGCAAAUUUAAACAUUUAAAAAAUUAACAUUAUUAGGAGAAGAAACUACAAACCCUGAAAAAUAAUAUAAAGAAAAAUUACUACAAAUACUAAAUUAAAUAAUUAAAUAGAUAUCACACACCUAAUUUUUAAAAGGUAAACUCGAACCAAAACGAGUGUUUACCAACACAAAUGAAGCCUCGUUGAAUAAGAUUUAGACAUUUACAAAUUUAAAUAAAAUAUUAUAUAAUCAAUUAAAUUUUAACUUGAUUGGC